GGUAGAGCUCAGUGGUAGAGCGCGUGCUUAGCAUGCAUGAGGUCCUGGGUUCAAUUCCCAGUACC
RNAcentral lists this transfer RNA (65 nucleotides) under Camelus bactrianus (Bactrian camel). It matches the Rfam family "tRNA". From Rfam's summary of the family: Transfer RNA (tRNA) molecules are approximately 80 nucleotides in length. Their secondary structure includes four short double-helical elements and three loops (D, anti-codon, and T loops). Lineage: Eukaryota; Metazoa; Chordata; Mammalia; Artiodactyla; Camelidae. RNAcentral also lists the same sequence under 2 other names. The record is from Rfam by way of RNAcentral.